This 253-nucleotide ribosomal RNA is filed under the name uncultured bacterium. Its description in RNAcentral is "partial 16S ribosomal RNA". It matches the Rfam family "Bacterial small subunit ribosomal RNA", at positions 524 to 776 of the family's 1533-position model. The record is from RNAcentral.
GACGUAGGGCGCGAGCGUUGUCCGGAUUUAUUGGGCGUAAAGAGCUCGUAGGCGGCUUGUCGCGUCGUCCGUGAAAACUUGGGGCUCAACCCCAAGCUUGCGGUCGAUACGGGCAGGCUCGAGUUCGGUAGGGGAGACUGGAAUUCCCGGUGUAGCGGUGAAAUGCGCAGAUAUCAGGAGGAACACCGGUGGCGAAGGCGGGUCUCUGGGCCGAUACUGACGCUGAGGAGCGAAAGCGUGGGGAGCGAACAGG